GAGAGAGAGAGAGAGAGAGAGAGAGAUUUUUAAUUUAAAUUUUAAUUUUUAAAAUUUAUAAUUUAGUUUUUUAAAAUUUAAAUUUAUAAUUUUAAAUUAUAAAUUUUAAUGUUUAAAUUAUAAAUUUGAUAUUUGUAAUUUUUAAAUUUUAAAUUUAAUUUUUUAGAUUUAAAAUUUAAAAUUUUAUAUUUUAUGUCUUUCAAAUUUAAAUUUGAUCUUAAAUUUAAAAUUUGAUAUUUAAAAUUAAAUUUUGAAAAUUAUAAGUUUUAAUUUUAAUUUCAAAUUUAAAAAUUUAAAAAUUAAAAAUUUUAAUUUAAAAUUAUUAGUUUAAAAUGUUAAAUUCAAUUAUAGAGGUAAAAUUAUUAUUUUCUAUCUAUAACUACCAACUAUUCCACCUUAUACUCAAAUUUUCAUCCAAACAUAAUUUUUCUAGUUCCAGCUUAUACUCAUAUUUUUAUCUAAAUAAAAAAAUACUUUUGUUUCUACGAAAAUUCAUUCUUGUACCUAUUUUCGGUAUAAUUAGUUCUUACUUAUAUUCCAACCAAACGGAGCCUAAAAGUACAAAAGGUUUUCAGGGUUUU
This 581-nucleotide long non-coding RNA is filed under the name Ananas comosus (pineapple). RNAcentral describes it as "long non-coding RNA (ACOM_LNC022963)". The record is from RNAcentral. Lineage: Eukaryota; Viridiplantae; Streptophyta; Magnoliopsida; Poales; Bromeliaceae.